Molecule: ribosomal RNA, 436 nt
Filed under: uncultured bacterium
Lineage: Bacteria
Description: bacterial SSU rRNA
Rfam family: Bacterial small subunit ribosomal RNA
Source: RNAcentral
AGCGAACGCUGGCGGCAGGCUUAACACGUGCAAGUCGAACGAACCCUUCGGGGUUAGUGGCGGACGGGUGAGUAACACGUGGGAACGUGCCUUUUGGUUCGGAACAACACAGGGAAACUUGUGCUAAUACCGGACGUGCCCUUCGGGGGAAAGAUUUAUCGCCAUUAGAGCGGCCCGCGUCUGAUUAGCUAGUUGGUGAGGUAAAGGCCCACCAAGGCUACGAUCAGUAGCUGGUCUGAGAGGAUGANCAGCCACACUGGGACUGAGACACGGCCCAGACUCCUACGGGAGGCAGCAGUGGGGAAUCUUGCGCAAUAGGGGAAACCCUGACGCAGCCAUGCCGCGUGAAUGAUGAAGGUCUUAGGAUUGUAAAAUUCUUUCAGCGGGGACGAUAAUGACGGUACCCGCAGAAGAAGCUCCGGCUAACUUCGUGCCA